AAAUUGAAGAGUUUGAUCAUGGCUCAGAUUGAACGCUGGCGGCAGGCCUAACACAUGCAAGUCGAGCGGUAGCACAGAGAGCUUGCUCUCGGGUGACGAGCGGCGGACGGGUGAGUAAUGUCUGGGAAACUGCCUGAUGGAGGGGGAUAACUACUGGAAACGGUGGCUAAUACCGCAUAAUGUCGCAAGACCAAAGUGGGGGACCUUCGGGCCUCAUGCCAUCAGAUGUGCCCAGAUGGGAUUAGCUAGUAGGUGGGGUAACGGCUCACCUAGGCGACGAUCCCUAGCUGGUCUGAGAGGAUGACCAGCCACACUGGAACUGAGACACGGUCCAGACUCCUACGGGAGGCAGCAGUGGGGAAUAUUGCACAAUGGGCGCAAGCCUGAUGCAGCCAUGCCGCGUGUGUGAAGAAGGCCUUCGGGUUGUAAAGCACUUUCAGCGGGGAGGAAGGCGUUAAGGUUAAUAACCUUGGCGAUUGACGUUACCCGCAGAAGAAGCACCGGCUAACUCCGUGCCAGCAGCCGCGGUAAUACGGAGGGUGCAAGCGUUAAUCGGAAUUACUGGGCGUAAAGCGCACGCAGGCGGUCUGUCAAGUCGGAUGUGAAAUCCCCGGGCUCAACCUGGGAACUGCAUUCGAAACUGGCAGGCUAGAGUCUUGUAGAGGGGGUAGAAUUCCAGGUGUAGCGGUGAAAUGCGUAGAGAUCUGGAGGAAUACCGGUGGCGAAGGCGGCCCCCUGGACAAAGACUGACGCUCAGGUGCGAAAGCGUGGGGAGCAAACAGGAUUAGAUACCCUGGUAGUCCACGCCGUAAACGAUGUCGAUUUGGAGGUUGUGCCCUUGAGGCGUGGCUUCCGGAGCUAACGCGUUAAAUCGACCGCCUGGGGAGUACGGCCGCAAGGUUAAAACUCAAAUGAAUUGACGGGGGCCCGCACAAGCGGUGGAGCAUGUGGUUUAAUUCGAUGCAACGCGAAGAACCUUACCUGGUCUUGACAUCCACAGAACUUUCCAGAGAUGGAUUGGUGCCUUCGGGAACUGUGAGACAGGUGCUGCAUGGCUGUCGUCAGCUCGUGUUGUGAAAUGUUGGGUUAAGUCCCGCAACGAGCGCAACCCUCCUUUGUUGCCAGCGGUCCGGCCGGGAACUCAAAGGAGACUGCCAGUGAUAAACUGGAGGAAGGUGGGGAUGACGUCAAGUCAUCAUGGCCCUUACGACCAGGGCUACACACGUGCUACAAUGGCAUAUACAAAGAGAAGCGACCUCGCGAGAGCAAGCGGACCUCAUAAAGUAUGUCGUAGUCCGGAUUGGAGUCUGCAACUCGACUCCAUGAAGUCGGAAUCGCUAGUAAUCGUAGAUCAGAAUGCUACGGUGAAUACGUUCCCGGGCCUUGUACACACCGCCCGUCACACCAUGGGAGUGGGUUGCAAAAGAAGUAGGUAGCUUAACCUUCGGGAGGGCGCUUACCACUUUGUGAUUCAUGACUGGGGUGAAGUCGUAACAAGGUAACCGUAGGGGAACCUGCGGUUGGAUCACCUCCUUA
This 1536-nucleotide ribosomal RNA is filed under the name Klebsiella pneumoniae. RNAcentral's name for it is "bacterial SSU rRNA". It matches the Rfam family "Bacterial small subunit ribosomal RNA". The record is from RNAcentral. Lineage: Bacteria; Pseudomonadati; Pseudomonadota; Gammaproteobacteria; Enterobacterales; Enterobacteriaceae.